This 461-nucleotide long non-coding RNA is filed under the name Ananas comosus (pineapple). Its description in RNAcentral is "long non-coding RNA (ACOM_LNC044364)". Lineage: Eukaryota; Viridiplantae; Streptophyta; Magnoliopsida; Poales; Bromeliaceae. The record is from RNAcentral.
AGAUUUCAAUAUGUUACAGGUCAGCAGCAUGUUUACAUUAAGUGAUUAAUAUUGUGAUUUUUUUUAUUUGAUUGAUGUUUUUGAUCAGUUGUAGGACGUUAAUUUGAGCAUGUUCACAACCAAGGUUUUAAGUGUCCGUCAACACAGGCCAUAUCCAUCGUACCGUACCAUGCCAACAAGAUACCGGUACGAUACAAACCCCGUACCGAUGCGACAACUUAAAACUCUCUAUUCUUUCAAUUAGUGAGUAAUUUUCUCAAUAAAGUUCAAAUGAUGUGAUAAAAAGACAUAAUAAAUAAUUAGAAUAUUUUGUUGCUAAAGAAAAUAAAUAUUUCAUAUUAUUAUAUAUCGGCACACAAGAAUUUUUUUGACUGGCACGCAUCGGCAUGGCUCGGCACGCAACGUGCCGUACUGUGUCAGUAAGUUUCCGGCAUGUCCCUAUACCACGGCACUUAAAAUUC